GUGGGGGCGGGGCGGUGGCCUGGCCGAGAGGGCGCCGAGUACCGCCCAGGGGCUCAAUUGCUCCGGCAAAAAGAUUCCGCGGCUGUCGCCGAGUCCUGGUCCGGAUAAUCUCGUACGUGCUAGCGCUUUCUACGCAGCCUCUAAUCCAGUUUGGCACUUCAUCUUCAAUGAAAAACCCCCACCCUCAUCCUGCCCCAGGGCUUGGACAGUGAUUGAGAUAGAAUUCCUGCCAUUUGGUCUACACAGGACUAUAUUUGAAGUUCUUCCACAAUCUUGAUAAGAAAUGAAGGGAAAAUUCCUCUACAUAAUCAAAAUGGAGUUUCAAAAGAUUCUCAGUGAAACAACUGAAGCCACUAAAAAAUAUCCAAGUACUAUCUCACAUUUACUGACUUUACCAACUAUGAGUGCAAACAAGGAUUCAAGGUCAUUGAUAUGAAAAGGGGCCUGUUGAGAGAAGACAGAUUGGACAAAGUUAAUCCCCUGGAGUGUGAAUGUGUUUCAGUAAAUGAAGUGCUAUGCUGUACCUUUCUCUUGUGUACAUUCGGAAGCAGAAGCCAUCUCUGACCCUCCCAGCUCUGCCCUGGCGCUGCAGAGCA
Molecule: long non-coding RNA, 596 nt
Organism: Prionailurus viverrinus (fishing cat)
Lineage: Eukaryota; Metazoa; Chordata; Mammalia; Carnivora; Felidae
Exons: 5
Source: RefSeq, a predicted model, not a curated record